Long non-coding RNA from Neopsephotus bourkii (Bourke's parrot), 3937 nucleotides. RefSeq lists it as uncharacterized. The record is from RefSeq and is a predicted model, not a curated record. The transcript has 4 exons. Lineage: Eukaryota; Metazoa; Chordata; Aves; Psittaciformes; Psittacidae.
AUGGGGCUGGCAUUCUGCAGGGGAAAUCUCUAAUUCUUACACCCUCUUCCCCUCUCUCUGACUCCACUUUUCAUUCAUGAGUGGUUAUUCACUGAUUGAUUCACUGAUGUCUCUAUUAUUCUUUCUUCUUUGUAUGGAUUUAAAGCACCCAGUCAGCAGGGAAAAUACCUCUCACAUAAAUGUCAUCUGCUCUGUGGAGAAAAGACAGAAACAGAAAGAUCAUGAAGUUACAUUAAAUCUGUGCCAGCCUUACUGCACAAGGUAUUUCCCAGAACAAAGAUCUAGAGCAGAGCUGUCCCUCCACUCCUCCAUGGCUGUUCCUUCUCACAGUGGCUGCUCCUCAAAACAGGAAUCCAACUGAAGCAGUGGGGCUGCCAUGGAUCUUGUACCUUGAGAAACAGUGGUUGUGCUUUGUAGAACUGUGGCUUCCAGCUCAUGUGAACUUGGCAGUGAGUCUCUGCUGGUGAUUUUGCUGCCUGUGUUAGUUUAAAGCAUCACUGGAUCAGCAUCGUUACUGCAGUGCGAUAGCGUGAUCUGGAAAUGUCCAUCGUCUGUUGUGGGAGCAGCAAACAGAACAUCCAGCACAUAGCACACGUUGUCAUUUCAUCCUGUAAUACACAGAAAACAGGAAUUACAAAGGCAAGUACAGCGCAGAGAUGUUUUUGUUACCUGUCUAUGGGAAGUUUUUACUCUUUGCUGUACCAAAACCUUUGUGCUGCUCCUAUAGAAACCAUCGCUUGUAUUGAAUAUUUGUUCACACAUGCUGGUGCUUUUGUAACUGUGUCAGUCCCUGGGUUCCGAGGAACAUGUAAAACUCACAAAACCCAGAGGAAAAAAACUUAGAAGAUGUUUAGAGAUUCAAAAAGACCUGAAUCUUUUAACCUCAAAUUAUGUAUCAUGUCUCUGAGGGCCAGCGUCUAUUCAUCACAAACACCAUGGUGUGUGAGCCACCACUCUGAGGCAGGUCUGGGUCCCUGUGACAGCCAGUGUCACUCUCUCAGCCUACCUGACAAGUAAGAGAAUAUCUACUUUCUUUGUACCAAGCACACAAAAAGGCAACACAAUGCCAUAGAGAAAACCUUCCACUUGAGAAGGCAGACAAGAGAACUUCCCUGAAGGUAACACAGCAAGACUGCUUGCAGUGUUGACAGUGUCACAGCUUAUUUUCUCUUCAAGGGUUACUAGUAACACUUGCACUGAGGUGGCUAUUGCAUCUUUCCGGAACAAUACUCCAUGAAUAUUAUCAGAAUAACAUUCAAAAGCCAGUUUCCCAUUUUAGUGUUUUUUGGCUUGUAAAGAAUUGACAAGUCCUUGCCAUGCUAAAUAUCAUUUGGAGAAUAAUCAGUUUGGGCUCCUGCUGACAUCAACAGUCAUUCAAUGACUUGUCCUCCUUCCCUGAGCUAGAGAUAAUCCAGGUUUCCUUCCCAGGAGUUUGCAGAAAAGGCUGUUGCAAAGCAAUGAGAGUUUCCUGGCCAGGAAGCUCUACAGGAACACUGGGUGCUUCCAGCUGCCCCAGACCUGGAAGGAAACCAGCUCACUUCUUUUCAGUGCUUUUUGUGAGCAGUUAACUGCUCAGACCAGGCCAUUAGUGUCAGCCAAGGACUGUCAGGAUAAGGAACUUGUGACAUAAAUUCAGAUUAGCCUCAUCUUCAAGUUAUGAAAUUAUGAAAUCAUGGUCAGUUAACAUUUUUCUUUGAUGGUUUCCUUACCCCAACUCCCUGUGUAAUGGCUCUGUGAGCUGAAAACCAACUCUGUUUCUUGUGAUUCCCUGGGUGAGGUGCACUAAAAUGCUGCAGGUGACAAGUGCUGUAUAAACAUGCAGGGGUUUCAUCUUUCUGUUGUUUUACUAGAAGUCUCUCAGUUGCUAAGCAGAACUCUCCAGGGUAUGUUUAAAGCACCAUGUUUCGGAGUUGCUUAGAGGGAAUGAAAUCUUACGGAGAACUCCCACCAUACUCAUGAACUGGAGCGUAUGUAUGCAUUACCAUGAGGCUGCUCACAAAUCCCCAUCUGAAAUCAGUACUCCAAAGUGGCCUUGAUUUUGUAAUUCCAUAUCACACAAAUUUCUUACUAGUUGGUCUAGGGGGAAAAAGGAUUCUGAGAAAAGACUGUCUCACAAAAACAUAUAACCAUAUGACAAAGAGGACUGUAGAAGAUAGUGUGUAUGGAAGAAGCUGAAAACAUCAUAUUUGGAACAAAUAUACCAUUGGUAACUAGUAACCAUUGUGACUAGAUUAGAGUAGAAGGCAGUAACACCGAAUUAUAAAUAUGUGAUUUUGUCUGAAAUUAGUGUAAUUUGUGGUUAUUGUGUUUGCUACAAGUGUGCAUACUGAAAAAUGAAAGCAUUGGGAGGCUACAGAUAUAACAAAUGAAAUCAGACAUUGAAAAUUUGGCACAGAAUUGACCAUUAAAGUCUGAGGAGUUCCGGACAAAUCUGUUUUGUGAGGAUUCUGGGCCAUGUUGCUGAUAGAGUGUCUGGAAAACCAGAGCAGGGUACUGUGUUUGAUACUGAAAUAUGUACUAGGGAGUUUGUACAGUCCUGAAACUUAGGUUGUGGGUUUCUGGAUUAGGGGUGUCAAUCAAGGGGUGCACACAAAUGGCCUAAUACCAGGACCUGAAUGGAACUGCUGGAUGUUACCCCAGCACAGAUUAUGGCAAUAAUACAACUGGAUAUUCUGCUUAUUCUCUAAUCUGUUUCUUCUUGUGCCAUGAAUCCUUUUCCUCCCUCUGCCUUCUUGCUAUUUGUCCAACCCUAAGCAGAACUGUAUCAUUCUGAGGUCUAGUGGAUGAGAUGCUGGGAAGCACAACGGAAGGAGGAAUUCUUCCUUCUCCAUCUACCAAAGGAGGAGAAGAGCUACCUGGGAGAGUUCUCCUCUCACAUGAUGAAGUAGAAGAACUGCCAACAGAGUGAGUCUCUUUCUCCACUGAACAAAACGUUUGUACUGUAACAAGGAACACUACUUUGUUUUCUUGGUGUUGGUGAUCACACACACAAAGUCUCCCAUAUGGUCCAUGUGGGUGCAUGUACAGCUACAGAACUACCUUCACACAUACAUUACAGAGAGGAAUUGUUACUGACAGAUGGAUAAAAGGUAAGCAAGCUGCAAACUGUUUUUAUUACCAUAUAACACAGAAAGAGAACCACCAGAACAAGUCUGGUUUUCUGUUUCCACAACGUCAUGCAGCUUCGCUACCCAACAGCAUCUUUUGUCCAGAAUUAAUCCAAAUGAUAAUUAACAACACAACAUGAUGUGGUGCCAGUGUUCUUUACAUCUCAGUACAAAACCAGCACUCCACUGGCCAUCUUUCCACAGCUGCAGGAAACAUCCUGCAGUGAAUGCUUUCAUCAUUUAAAGCCAUGUAUUCCUAAGUCUAUUUAAUUAAUUAGAGUUGGUCACCGUGCCUUCUGAAGCAUACUGCUGCUUUCUUAAAGGAGGUUAGCUGUAUGCUUAGACCAAUACAAAUGAAAGAGAAAGCACACAGUGGUUUAGGGGCUGUGAAGCUGAGAUAAACUCCUUUAUUUCUUAGACAAUUCACUGAUCCUGGAGAUCAACAGGUCUUCUAUUUUUUCAAGUAGGCUAUUAUGAUCAUGUAUCCAUCACUCCUUCCUUCUGACCUCAGAGGCUUUGGAGGAACAAUUUUCUUCCCAAGAAGAAAUUUAGCCUUUUAAAAGAAAGAGCAGGAAGAUACCAGCCUUUUGGUAAUACCUUCAUGAUAUCAGAAUAAGGUGGUUUUAAGCCAGAUCUGCAGUAAAAUGUUCACCUCUUAACAGAUUUUGAUUACAUCUAAUCGCUAGGCUGAGAAUCGACUGCUAUUAGUAGAGUCCAUAGUCUCAGCUACAGACUGCAUUAACCACAUAUCAUAUAUGAUACCCUCAGAUGAGACUGGCUGAUCUUUUUUUUUGAUGCUUUGUCACUUCGGAGGGAAAAGAGUCAAAAGG